GAUGAAGAACGUAGCGAAAUGCGAUACGUAGUGUGAAUUGCAGAAUUCAGUGAAUCAUCGAAUCUUUGAACGCACAUUGCGCCCUUUGGUAUUCCAAAGGGCAUGCCUGUUCGAGCGUCAUUUGUACCCUCAAGCUUUGCUUGGUGUUGGGUGUUUGUCCCGCGUUGCGCGUGGACUCGCCUUAAAGCGAUUGGCAGCCGGCAUAUUGGCCUUGGAGCGCAGCACAUUUUGCGCUUCUAGUCAUGAAUGUUGGCGUCCAUUAAGCCUAUACAUUUGCUCUUGACCUCGGAUCAGGUAGGGAUACCCGCUGAACUUAAGCAUAUCAAUAAGCGGAGGA
Molecule: unclassified non-coding RNA, 337 nt
Filed under: soil metagenome
Description: partial contains 5.8S ribosomal RNA, internal transcribed spacer 2, and large subunit ribosomal RNA
Rfam family: 5.8S ribosomal RNA (bases 1-120)
Source: RNAcentral